UACAGAGGGGGCAAGCGUUAUUCGGAAUUAUUGGGCGUAAAGGGCGCGUAGGCGGCCUGGCAAGUGGAAGGUGAAAUCCCUCGGCUUAACCGAGGAACUGCCUUCCAAACUGCUUGGCUUGAGUCCGGGAGAGGUGAGUGGAAUUCCCAGUGUAGCGGUGAAAUGCGUAGAUAUCAGGAAGAACACCCGUGGCUAGGGCGGCUCUCUAGUACGGUACUGACGCUGAGACGCGAAAGCGUGGGGAGCGAACAGG
This 253-nucleotide ribosomal RNA is filed under the name uncultured bacterium. Its description in RNAcentral is "partial 16S ribosomal RNA". It matches the Rfam family "Bacterial small subunit ribosomal RNA", at positions 524 to 776 of the family's 1533-position model. The record is from RNAcentral.